AAACAUGGCUCCCUGAAAUCACAUGAUAGGGAGUCGGACCUGCCCAGUGAAUUUUUCAACGGCCGCGGUACUCUGACCGUGCAAAGGUAGCAUAAUCAUUUGCCUUAUAAUUGAAGGCUAGUAUGAAUGGUUUGACAAGAAUAUAGCUGUCUCUCUAUGAUUUAAUAGAAUUUUAUUUACAGGUGAAGAAGCCUGUAUUAAAUUAAAAGACAAGAAGACCCUAUCGAGCUUAUAAAAAAUUUAAUAGAAUUUAGAUUAAUAUAGUUAAAAAAUUAUCUAUUAUACAUUUUAGUUGGGGCGACUGAGGAACACAUAAAGCUUCCUUUAAAAUCUAUUUGUAAUUCAAACUAGAGUUGAUCCAAAAUAUUUUGAUUAAAGAAAUUAGUUACCGUAGGGAUAACAGCAUUAUCUUCUUUAAGAGCUCAUAUCGAAAAGAAGGUUUGUGACCUCGAUGUUGGACCAGAAUAUCCUGAAGAUGCAGCAGUCUUCAAGGGUUGGUCUGUUCGACCAUUAAAAUUCUACCUGA
This 526-nucleotide ribosomal RNA is filed under the name Phrontis alba. RNAcentral describes it as "partial 16S ribosomal RNA". It matches the Rfam family "Bacterial large subunit ribosomal RNA", at positions 1811 to 2603 of the family's 2925-position model. Lineage: Eukaryota; Metazoa; Mollusca; Gastropoda; Neogastropoda; Nassariidae. The record is from RNAcentral.